GGAGAGAUACCCGAAGUGGUCUAACGGGGAUCGGAUCUCCAGGUUCGAUCGGGUGUAUGCCCGCGUAGGUUCGAAUCCUGCUCUCUCCG
Molecule: transfer RNA, 89 nt
Filed under: Actinoplanes teichomyceticus
Lineage: Bacteria; Bacillati; Actinomycetota; Actinomycetes; Micromonosporales; Micromonosporaceae
Rfam family: tRNA
About the family: Transfer RNA (tRNA) molecules are approximately 80 nucleotides in length. Their secondary structure includes four short double-helical elements and three loops (D, anti-codon, and T loops).
Source: Rfam by way of RNAcentral